Molecule: transfer RNA, 87 nt
Filed under: Omnitrophica bacterium RBG_13_46_9
Lineage: Bacteria; Pseudomonadati; Candidatus Omnitrophota
Description: tRNA-Leu
Rfam family: tRNA
About the family: Transfer RNA (tRNA) molecules are approximately 80 nucleotides in length. Their secondary structure includes four short double-helical elements and three loops (D, anti-codon, and T loops).
Source: RNAcentral
GCCAGAGUGAUGGAAUUGGUAUACAUGACGGUCUCAAAAACCGUUGUUCGAAAGAACGUGAGGGUUCGAAUCCCUCCUCUGGCACCA